RNAcentral lists this ribosomal RNA (520 nucleotides) under uncultured Bacteroidota bacterium. RNAcentral's name for it is "bacterial SSU rRNA". It matches the Rfam family "Bacterial small subunit ribosomal RNA", at positions 28 to 545 of the family's 1533-position model. The record is from RNAcentral. Lineage: Bacteria; Pseudomonadati; Bacteroidota.
GAUGAACGCUAGCGGCAGGCCUAACACAUGCAAGUCGAGGGGUAACGAUGUCUUCGGACAGUCGACGACCGGCGCACGGGUGAGUAACACGUUUGUAACCUACCUUUAACAGGAAGAUAGCCCGAAGAAAUUCGGAUUAAUAUUCCAUAACACUAUAGUUUGGCAUCAUUUUAUAGUUAAAGCUCCGGCGGUUAAAGAUGGGCAUGCGUAACAUUAGCUAGUUGGUAAGGUAAUAGCUUACCAAGGCUACGAUGUUUAGGGGGUCUGAGAGGAUAGUCCCCCACACUGGUACUGAGACACGGACCAGACUCCUACGGGAGGCAGCAGUGAGGAAUAUUGGUCAAUGGGCGAAAGCCUGAACCAGCCAUGCCGCGUGAAGGAAGACGGCCCUAUGGGUUGUAAACUUCUUUUAUACGAGAAGAAACCGCUCUACGUGUAGAGUCUUGACGGUAUCGUAUGAAUAAGCAUCGGCUAACUCCGUGCCAGCAGCCGCGGUAAUACGGAGGAUGCGAGCGUUAUC